Molecule: long non-coding RNA, 271 nt
Organism: Exaiptasia diaphana
Lineage: Eukaryota; Metazoa; Cnidaria; Anthozoa; Actiniaria; Aiptasiidae
Exons: 2
Source: RefSeq, a predicted model, not a curated record
UCAUACUUUGUAAUUCUAGAAACGAGUCCAAUAAUCAAGCGCCCCAAAGCAUUAUCUUUUUCAACGUCCUUUUUAUUGAAGGAAAGCACCUCCAAGAGCAGCAUAGUCUGGCACCACCUUUAGGACAUGAAUUACCGUAUGGAAUGCAAAAUGGUGGGCGUAAAAUCCAAUUCUGCCAAGGAAUGUCUCUCUUUGAAACUUUAAGCUGCAAACAAGAAAAUGUGUAGUAACUCUUAGCAAAAUAAAGCUUAGCAACGAAAAGCAAUACUGA